Molecule: ribosomal RNA, 112 nt
Filed under: Caerostris extrusa
Lineage: Eukaryota; Metazoa; Arthropoda; Arachnida; Araneae; Araneidae
Source: RNAcentral
AACGGCCAUACCAUGGUGAAUAUACCGGUUCUCGUUAGAUCACCGAAGUCAAGCAUCAUUGGGCGCGGUCAGUACUUGGGUGGGUGACCACCUGGAAACACCGCGUGCCGUU